RNAcentral lists this ribosomal RNA (444 nucleotides) under uncultured Staphylococcus sp. Its description in RNAcentral is "bacterial SSU rRNA". It matches the Rfam family "Bacterial small subunit ribosomal RNA", at positions 458 to 896 of the family's 1533-position model. The record is from RNAcentral. Lineage: Bacteria; Bacillati; Bacillota; Bacilli; Caryophanales; Staphylococcaceae.
CUGUGCGCACCUUGACGGUACCUAAUCAGAAAGCCACGGCUAACUACGUGCCAGCAGCCGCGGUAAUACGUAGGUGGCAAGCGUUAUCCGGAAUUAUUGGGCGUAAAGCGCGCGUAGCGGUUUCUUAAGUCUGAUGUGAAAAGCCCCACGGGCUCAAACCCGUGGAGGGUCAUUGGAAACUGGGAGACUUGAGUGCAGAAGAGGAAAGUGGAAUUCCAUGUGUAGCGGUGAAAUGCGCAGAGAUAUGGGGGAACACCAGUGGCGAAGGCGACUUUCUGGUCUGUAACUGACGCUGAUGUGCGAAAGCGUGGGGAUCAAACAGGAUUAGAUACCCUGGUAGUCCACGCCGUAAACGAUGAGUGCUAAGUGUUAGGGGGUUUCCGCCCCUUAGUGCUGCAGCUAACGCAUUAAGCACUCCGCCUGGGGAGUACGACCGCAAGGUUG